Molecule: non-coding RNA, 117 nt
Organism: Mycena galopus ATCC 62051
Lineage: Eukaryota; Fungi; Basidiomycota; Agaricomycetes; Agaricales; Mycenaceae
Source: the annotation of a GenBank genome assembly
GGUCAGAUGGCCGAGCGGUCUAAGGCGCCAGACUAAGGAUCAACUUCGAUUGAAGUAGAAUUUGUACCCACUGCAAUCUGGUCCUCCGGGGCGUGGGUUCGAAUCCCACUCUGAUCA